UAAUACGGAGGAUGCAAGCGUUAUCCGGAAUUAUUGGGCGUAAAGCGUCCGUAGGUGGUUCAUCAAGUCAGUUGUCAAAGCGUGGGGCUUAACCCCAUAAGGGCGAUUGAAACUGAUGAACUAGAGUUUGGUAGGGGUCAGGGGAAUUCCCAGUGUAGCGGUGAAAUGCGUAGAUAUUGGGAAGAACACCGGUGGCGAAAGCGCCUGACUGGGCCUGAACUGACACUGAGGGACGAAAGCUAGGGGAGCGAAAGGG
This 256-nucleotide ribosomal RNA is filed under the name uncultured bacterium. RNAcentral describes it as "partial 16S ribosomal RNA". It matches the Rfam family "Bacterial small subunit ribosomal RNA", at positions 521 to 776 of the family's 1533-position model. The record is from RNAcentral.